GUCAACGGUCACAUGGUACACUCGUCAGAAAAUUUUCAGAAUGAUUCGCCGCCAUCUUCUUUCUUGCUGGGUCUCUCAUCCUUCCAGAGUUGCACCACUCUGCUUUGCUGUGUCUGGUGUGUAACUCUUCAAUGAGAUGGUACUGCAAGUGCUGUAGUUUCUCCUCACCAAAACAGCGCACACUAAUCACCCAUUACAAACUGAAGCAUUGUAAUCAGGCAAGAAAUUGUUCUCUUCCCUGUGUCUAUGGGGACUGUGUGUGUUCCUUCAGGCCUGCCCUUUUUACUGAAAGACAGAUUGUCAAGGAAUUCACCCAUUUGAUGUCAGUGGACCUCUAUUCAUUCUAUGAAGGACUAGAUGGAAAUCUCCAGAAACUGCUUCUGCUGAGAGAAACCUUUCCCGCUCUUAAAGAUGUGUGAAGAUGUCUAAGAAACGUUUCAAAUUCAAACAUAUGUAGUUUAUCAGAAAGGAUUGUCAGUCUUUUAAGAUCAUACUUGUAGAUUACCUAAAUUGUGUAUUUACCCAAAAUAUCUUCACAUAAGAAUAUGAAGUGUAAUGGUACAGUAUUUGUUUUAGAACUUUCCUGUUUUUUAUAAAAACUUUUUUUAUAAAUUUGGCUUUAAAGAU
Molecule: long non-coding RNA, 627 nt
Organism: Girardinichthys multiradiatus
Lineage: Eukaryota; Metazoa; Chordata; Actinopteri; Cyprinodontiformes; Goodeidae
Exons: 3
Source: RefSeq, a predicted model, not a curated record